GGCUCUCUAAAGUAGAUGGAGAAUUGUGUCAUAAAGGAAUGCUGUUUUACAUUUUCUGGGCUGGGUGUGCAAACAUGGCAGAGAUGGGUGAUAAAACACUCAUGGCUAUGAAGAAUUACAGUUCAUAUCUGCGACACUAGAAUGAUUAGGGGCAAUAAAUCAUCUUAACUAAAGACACACAUGCACAAGAAAAAAAGAGAAACCCAGCCAUUAUCCCCUCCUGUGUGAAACACAGGAAGCAACAGAUAUUCAAAGAAAUGCUCUUCAAAGAUUUCCUGCCAGCAUUCUUCAGCUCAAGCUGGAGAUAUUAUAUGCCCGGAUCUCACUCAGAGAAAGCUGCUGCAAUCUAUAAUGUAAUCAGUAAUGGCAGCAGCCAGGAAGGCAGUGUGACUCAUUCUUUACAGAACACCCUGAGGAGAAGUGAAUCCACAUCCACACUCAAACCUGCCAUACCGGUAACAUCCUGAGUGGAGCCCUCAUGUUUGCAGGAACCUCUAAACGCUUGAUAAUUACAGACACCCUGUGACAGUGAUAACAUUCACAAAGGCACAAAGGCACUAGCGGCUGAGGCUUUUCUGUCCGUUUAUCUGUGUGGGGAUGAAGGUCCUCUGCCUCAGAUAAGACAGCAGGGACACAAUCAUUUAAAGGGGGCUGCUGGCUUGACUCUUUUUUAUUCAUUCAGUUCUGAAGGCACCACUGUAGUAUCUAUUGACCUGUAGUUCAUGAAAUCAACUGUUUGUUUUGUGUCCACGCCAGUGGCUGGGAGUAUUGAUUUACUAAAACCAAUUAAAUGAACAAGUCUUUCAUUCUACAGAGUCUCACCAGAAACAUUAUGUGGCUUACAUGUACUUGUCUUCACAACCAAUGAAAUCCUAUUUAAUUUAUUGAAAUGACAAUGGAUGUUGAUUUAAUU
Molecule: long non-coding RNA, 913 nt
Organism: Cyprinus carpio (common carp)
Lineage: Eukaryota; Metazoa; Chordata; Actinopteri; Cypriniformes; Cyprinidae
Exons: 3
Source: RefSeq, a predicted model, not a curated record